GGAUUUAUUUCUGCAAUUUUUCACUAAAAUAUUUUUAAAAAAUUCGAAUUCUGAAGGAUUUGGAACCGAAGAAAAAUGAUUGAAGGAAACAACCUGUACGGCUGGUCGGCUGUACGUACGCCAGCACCUUGCAUUGGCAACAUGGGAUUGAGCAGUUUACUGUUGCAUUGCUGGUGGAUUUGGUGCCUGCCGUGAUCCCGUUUCCGUCUCGGUGGACUUCUUGUCUCCGUCAAGACUCAAGACUCAGGUCUCAGGUCCAGGCGUGCCGCGCGCGGCGUGCGGGCGCCCGGGUGGCCAGCGGCCACGAGCCAGAGGCACCUGCGUGAAGGACUGAAGGCAGCCUCGCCGAGAUGCCGAUCGGGAGACGAAUCAAAACCGCCUCGCCUUCGUUUCUCGCUGCUGCUUGUUGCGCCGGGAAACUUGGGUCAUCGAAUGAAUGGGCUCAAGUGCUGAAGUUGGAGGCCCUGUGCCGUCGUACCGGCCGCACGCCGGGCCAGCCGGCCGGCAGGAUCCUGAGCCCACCUGUCAGCGGACCAAAUUCGUAGGCUGCUUCUUUCCCUGCAUACGACAGGGGCUGCUAACUGCUUGCUGUGAAAAGCUCAUCUCCGUUGCGUCCCGCUGUCAACGAACCGGGCCGGUGAUUCCGUGUUGUUGUCUCAGCCCUCUUGAAGGAUGGAAGAACGGAGAAAAGUUGAAACACGGAAGCAAAGCCUGGCCCUAGACGCGCACGGCCGACGGCCGGCGAUGAAAUUAAAAGCCGGCCGGCCAGCCCUCUCCGCCCUCCCAGCCAGUAGUACUAGGUAGCCGCUCCCCAACGCCGACUGCCGCCUCUCCCGGUCUCUGCCGCCCCGCUCGCCGCGCGCGCCGCGCUCUCCCGCCGUGUCUUCCGAGCGAGCGCAAGAAGACACACCGAAUUGCAUACCGCGCGUGGCACGUGUGCCGCUAGGUGGCCGGGGCGACAUCGAUUACUUGUCGUGUGGGGCGUGCAGUGAGAUCCUCGCCGCUUUCCCCACACCCUCUUCUUCUUUCCCCACGCGGCCACACCCCUCUUCAUCUUCCUCGCUCCAAAAGGCAGCGUGCAGGCAAUUCUACUGCUAAACCAGGGGUGCUUAGGCAGACGGGAUGGGUUACACGGACGGCCUGAAGCGCGCGCGGGUGGAGGCGCCCAUGGUGUCCCGAGUCCGUGAUCCGAGGCCGGAGGUGUGACACGCGAGGACGCGACCCGGUUGUGCCCUGAAGGGCGAGUUCACCGUCGAGCUGGAGAGGUACCAGCACCAGUACACAAAAGGUCUUCCGUUUUUUAUAUUUAUCCUGGCCUAGGUUGGUCCGGAACUAAUAAUAAAAGCAUUAGCCUCGAAUUCAACGGUCGGGAGCCUAUCGAGGGUGGAGGGAUAUUUAGUUCUAGUUGGAGCCACCAACCGGGACUAAAAGUGUCUCAUUAGUCCUGAUUGAUGGCUUCAACCGGGAUCUAAUGAGGCACUUUUAAUCCGGUUUCGUGGCUCCAACCGGAACUAAAUCCUCUAUCCUCUUUUAUCCCCUUCUUACUCCCCAUGCCCGAGCCAUUCCUCCAUUGUUCUUCAUGUUCUAUAGGUGAGGGGAGAUCAUGCCCAUUUUCUCUAUGAUUUGUGAAGAUUUUUGAUUCCCCCGUCCAUCCAACUGUUCUAUAGGUUACAAACUUUAUCCUCUCAUCUUCUAUUGCUAGUAUAGCUUAUUUUAUGGUUUAAAAAUAGAGAAAUUUGAGGUUUUUUAGAUUGGAAAAAUUAUUGGAGUUUUUCGAUUUAUACACCAUUUGAGCUCAAAUUUAUUUAAGAUUUGCAUGUGUAGAUGUGAUUUUCUUGUAUUAUUUAAUCAAAAUGAGUAUAUAGAGUAGAAUGUAUUUUUUGAAUUGGAGUAUAUAUAUAUAGAGAGAGAGGAACACUGUUUAGAAAAAAAUAUAGAUAUAUUAAAAUUAGUAUAUACAAUGGAAGUAUGAAAAAUAUAGAUAUGAAAACGAGUAUAUAGAAAAAUAGAUAUUAGUUGAGUAUAGUAGAAAUUUUUUAUUUUUAGAAAUGGAAGUAUAUAUAUACACACACAUGUAUGGAGGGAUUAUUAACGGUCAAUGACUAAUUAAUGAUUAUUAUUGUUAAUAUUAGUUGACGUAGUUAGCUAUUAAUAUAGUUUAUUAUUAUUUUAUACAUGUGACAAUUUUUCUAGGUGCAGUUAGCUAUUGAUUUAGUUUAUAAUUGUUAUAGUGUAUUGAAGUUUAGAUUGUAAUUACGUAUUCCAAAAUAAAUUAUUUUAGCACUCUAGUGAGUAAUUAAUGUUUAAUAUGUAGAAAUGGCUUUGCAACAUGAUGCAUUAGAGCGUUGUACGUCCCAUUGGGCAUCGGUACACAAUCAUUUCAAACGCACCGGUCAUUCCUUUUAAGUUUGACAGGGAAGAGCAUCUUGGACUUGUUCGGGAUCGUAUUCGUCGUUGGACUACGUAAUGCAAGAUGCAAAUUUGAGCGUGAAUUUGAUGUCGAGUUGCAUGGUAUGGAUGAUGAUCGCGAGUUGAUAGCUUGAUGCAAUGCGAGGCGCGAAGCGUCGGGGGUGGUAGAAAUUGUUUGUUCGGUGUCCAGAGUUUGCGAGGCGGUUCACGAGGCAUCUAUCAAUAGGUCUCAUGAGUAGUUGUACUAGCAUGUAGCUUAUUCGGUAUUUUAGAAGUUUUAAUCAAUCAUAUUAUGUAAUGGAUAAUUUAGACCUUUUAAUUAAUCAUGAUAUGUGAUGGAUAUUUGGAUCUUUAA
This is an RNA transcript of Panicum hallii, 2764 nucleotides long. RefSeq lists it as uncharacterized. The transcript has 2 exons. Lineage: Eukaryota; Viridiplantae; Streptophyta; Magnoliopsida; Poales; Poaceae. The record is from RefSeq and is a predicted model, not a curated record.